Molecule: ribosomal RNA, 500 nt
Filed under: uncultured bacterium
Lineage: Bacteria
Description: partial 16S ribosomal RNA
Rfam family: Bacterial small subunit ribosomal RNA
Source: RNAcentral
AUUGAACGCUGGCGGCAUGCUUUACACAUGCAAGUCGAACGGCAGCACGGACUUCGGUCUGGUGGCGAGUGGCGAACGGGUGAGUAAUACAUCGGAACGUGCCCAGUUGUGGGGGAUAACUACUCGAAAGAGUAGCUAAUACCGCAUGAGAACUGAGGUUGAAAGCAGGGGAUCGCAAGACCUUGCGCAACUGGAGCGGCCGAUGGCAGAUUAGGUAGUUGGUGGGAUAAAAGCUUACCAAGCCGACGAUCUGUAGCUGGUCUGAGAGGACGACAAGCCACACUGGGACUGAGACACGGCCCAGACUCCUACGGGAGGCAGCAGUGGGGAAUUUUGGACAAUGGGCGAAAGCCUGAUCCAGCAAUGCCGCGUGCAGGAUGAAGGCCUUCGGGUUGUAAACUGCUUUUGUACGGAACGAAAAGCUUCGGGUUAAUACCCUGGAGUCAUGACGGUACCGUAAGAAUAAGCACCGGCUAACUACGUGCCAGCCGCCGCCGUAA